Molecule: long non-coding RNA, 1351 nt
Filed under: Marmota monax (woodchuck)
Lineage: Eukaryota; Metazoa; Chordata; Mammalia; Rodentia; Sciuridae
Source: RNAcentral
GUUGGAUGUUUGGGUCUUGCCUCCUGUAAAUUCCACCUUUUGGGUGUGAAAUCUAAACCUCCACAGGUUUCACAUUCACUGCUAUGGAUGUGAAUUACCCAGUAGCAGCCCUGGAGUGAAGUUGCUCCUGUAUGGCUGCUAUAGGUUAUCUCCUCAAUAGCUCUUAUGGGGUGCUAGCAACAAAGGGAGCUUUCCCUUCUUGCUAUCUGGAGCCUAGAUACCCUGGGCACAAUUUUCUUUAUACUUAUUUCAGUUGUACUCUGGGGCCCACAAUAGGUGACUGCUGGGUCAGACGGCAACUUCCUUUAUAAGUUCCCUAUCUCCUGCCUCUGCUUGUGGCUGUGCAGUGCUUAAAAAUCAUUCCUGCACCAGUGAUCCCAUUUCCCUUCAAACUGUCUGGCCUAUGGGCUGAGUGAUUUUGGUUGCUUUUUGCUCAACAGCUUUUCCCAUUGACUCUGGGUCCAUUAAGAUUAGCCUCCAUCUCUACUCCACAAGCCAAUUUUUUUUUUCCCCUGUACUGUUCUCUUCUCCCCAGAAGGCCAUAGCUACUUUAUUAUUUUUUUAUAUUAUAUUCAGAGCUUAUGAUUUUCUGUGCCUAUGGUUUCUUUUGCUGUCCAGUGUUGAAUUUCAGUAGUUACCACAGUUACCUACCUGAGGAGCAGUCUUCCCAUUUUCUUUUAAUAUUUGUUUUUUAGGUGUAGAUGGACACAACACAAUGCCUUUAUUUUUAUAUGGUGCCGAGGAUCCAACCUGGGUCCCACCUGUGCUAGGUGAGCGCUCUACGGCUGAGCCACAAUCCCAGCCCUUUCCACUUUUUAAUCUGGUGCUAAGGAGCUGCUGGGAAGUACACUCUUCCUCUAAUUUGCUAUCUUCUCUGUUCUGUGAAUGUUAAAUUUUGUCAAAUGAUCUUUCUGCAUCUAUUGAGAUGAUCGUAUGGUUUUUCCUUUCAGGUGUUACUAUGGUGAGUUAUAUUGAUUUUCUGUUUUUGUCCAAAUCUUACAUAAACUCAUUUGGUUAUAAUGUAUUUUUGGAUUUGAUUUGAUAAUUUAAAAUUUUCAUGUCUGAGAAACAUUUUAGUGAAAAAAAUUUUAAUGCUGGGGAUUGAAACCAGGGGCUUCUCAGAUUCAAGAGCUGUAUCACUGAGUUACCUCACCAAACAUUUUGUAAAAAUUUUGAGACAGAAUAUGGCUAAGUUGCCCAGGCUUGCCUAGACAAUGUGAUCCUCCUGCCUCUAGGGUUACAGGUGUGCACCAAAGUGCUUUGCUCAGUGAAUUUUUUACUUCAGGCAUUUUUUCAUUGCAAAAGUUUAAAAGUUUGCGACUUAAGAGUGUUUAUGACUACUUCAUGAAGC